UCAACUUUUUGUUUUUUCCGUUUAGUUUGGGGCGGCAACUUUUGUUUAAGCAUUAAAUUACACCUAUAUAAAUCCACAUUGCCUUCACUCUUCAUUCUAACAAUUACUCCUCCUUUCUUGAGCCUUCUAUUAUAUACCUUGUUAGUUAUUUCCUCUCACCAGUAUUUGAAUUCAAGAUCUUCCCUUUAGAUUUAUCGAAGAUGGUUAUUGCUAAGCUGUUUGUAGUGUUUCUACUAUUGCAAAUGAUGAGUGGCUUCGUAUUUCGAGCAAAGGGUUUGAGUAUGGGCUAUUACAUUAUGAGCUGCCCGAUGGCUGAACUUAUUGUGAGAAAUACAGUCACCAGGGCCUUGCAAGCUGAUCCAACCUUAGCUGCAGGUCUAAUCAGAAUGCACUUCCAUGACUGCUUCAUAGAGGGAUGUGAUGCGUCAAUUCUCCUGGAUUCAACAAAAGAUAACACAGCAGAGAAGGACUCUCCAGCAAAUUUGAGCUUGCGUGGCUAUGAAGUUAUAGAUGCUGCAAAAGCGGAACUUGAAAAAAAAUGCCCUGGCGUGGUCUCUUGCGCCGACAUAGUUGCAAUGGCUUCUACAUAUGCAGUUUUUGCGGCUGGGGGCCCGGUUUAUGACAUACCCAAAGGAAGAAAGGAUGGAAGGAGGUCUAAAAUAGAAGACACAAGGAAUCUGCCUCCACCCACUUUGAAUGCCUCUGAGCUCAUUACAAUGUUUGGGCAACAUGGAUUUAGUGCUCAAGAAAUGGUUGCUUUAUCUGGUGCUCACACACUAGGUGUAGCCAGGUGCUCGUCGUUCAAAACCGAUUGAGUGAUAAUGUGGACCCAGAUUUAGAUUCAGGUUUUGCAAAGCAACUGACCAAAACAUGCAGCGCAGGCGAUAAUGCCGAGCAACCCUUCGAUGCAACGAGAAACAAUUUUGAUAAUGUCUACUUCAACGGACUGCAAAGGAAGGCUGGAGUCCUGAGUUCUGAUCAAACCCUAUUUGCCAGUGCAAAAACUAGAAACAUUGUAAAUGGUUAUGCCUUCAACCAAGCCAUGUUCUUCUUAGAUUUUCAACAGGCAAUGGUGAAAAUGAGCACCCUUGAUGUCAAGGAAGGUUCCAAAGGAGAAAUAAGAACAAAUUGCCGCAAAAUGAACUAAGGAAGAAGAGUACUUUUUUAUGGAGAGAGUUGCGCGUUCAACUCUUCUUCAUUGUGAAUUAUUGAUGGGUAAAACAAUAUCUGUCAUUGUUUAAUAGAUAAGUUACAUAUAUAAUCUGUUGUCCUUUGAGCUUGUUACUUGUACUGUUUCUUUGUAGUAUUUGUACUUAGCUUUUCGCGUAAA
This is a non-coding RNA of Malus domestica (apple), 1330 nucleotides long. NCBI's taxonomy places the organism in Eukaryota, Viridiplantae, Streptophyta, Magnoliopsida, Rosales, Rosaceae. The record is from RefSeq and is a predicted model, not a curated record.